RNAcentral lists this ribosomal RNA (601 nucleotides) under Candida tropicalis. Its description in RNAcentral is "eukaryotic LSU rRNA". It matches the Rfam family "Eukaryotic large subunit ribosomal RNA", at positions 47 to 664 of the family's 3401-position model. The record is from RNAcentral. Lineage: Eukaryota; Fungi; Ascomycota; Pichiomycetes; Serinales; Debaryomycetaceae.
UAAGCGGAGGAAAAGAAACCAACAGGGAUUGCCUUAGUAGCGGCGAGUGAAGCGGCAAAAGCUCAAAUUUGAAAUCUGGCUCUUUCAGAGUCCGAGUUGUAAUUUGAAGAAGGUAUCUUUGGGUCUGGCUCUUGUCUAUGUUUCUUGGAACAGAACGUCACAGAGGGUGAGAAUCCCGUGCGAUGAGAUGAUCCAGGCCUAUGUAAAGUUCCUUCGAAGAGUCGAGUUGUUUGGGAAUGCAGCUCUAAGUGGGUGGUAAAUUCCAUCUAAAGCUAAAUAUUGGCGAGAGACCGAUAGCGAACAAGUACAGUGAUGGAAAGAUGAAAAGAACUUUGAAAAGAGAGUGAAAAAGUACGUGAAAUUGUUGAAAGGGAAGGGCUUGAGAUCAGACUUGGUAUUUUGUAUGUUACUUCUUCGGGGGUGGCCUCUACAGUUUAUCGGGCCAGCAUCAGUUUGGGCGGUAGGAGAAUUGCGUUGGAAUGUGGCACGGCUUCGGUUGUGUGUUAUAGCCUUCGUCGAUACUGCCAGCCUAGACUGAGGACUGCGGUUUAUACCUAGGAUGUUGGCAUAAUGAUCUUAAGUCGCCCGUCUUGAAACACGG